GUCUAAUAUAAAUAGCCUAGUGGACAUGGCACCUGCCCGGUAAGCAGAAGGUUGUGGGUUCGAUUCCCGCUCCUGGACA
This 79-nucleotide transfer RNA is filed under the name Cordylochernes scorpioides. Its description in RNAcentral is "tRNA-Thr". The stretch from base 12 to 71 matches the Rfam family "tRNA", at positions 7 to 64 of the family's 71-position model. Rfam says of the family: Transfer RNA (tRNA) molecules are approximately 80 nucleotides in length. Their secondary structure includes four short double-helical elements and three loops (D, anti-codon, and T loops). The record is from RNAcentral. Lineage: Eukaryota; Metazoa; Arthropoda; Arachnida; Pseudoscorpiones; Chernetidae.